AUUGAACGCUGGCGGCAGGCUUAACACAUGCAAGUCGAGCGGGGUGAUGGUGCUUGCACUAUCACUUAGCGGCGGACGGGUGAGUAAUGCUUAGGAAUCUGCCUAUUAGUGGGGGACAACAUCUCGAAAGGGAUGCUAAUACCGCAUACGUCCUACGGGAGAAAGCAGGGGAUCACUUGUGACCUUGCGCUAAUAGAUGAGCCUAAGUCGGAUUAGCUAGUUGGUGGGGUAAAGGCCUACCAAGGCGACGAUCUGUAGCGGGUCUGAGAGGAUGGUCCGCCACACUGGGACUGAGACACGGCCCAGACUCCUACGGGAGGCAGCAGUGGGGAAUAUUGGACAAUGGGGGGAACCCUGAUCCAGCCAUGCCGCGUGUGUGAAGAAGGCCUUAUGGUUGUAAAGCACUUUAAGCGAGGAGGAGGCUCUUUUGGUUAAUACCCAGAAUGAGUGGACGUUACCCGCAGAAUAAGCACCGGCUAACUCUGUGCCAGCCGCCGCAGUAA
Molecule: ribosomal RNA, 503 nt
Filed under: uncultured bacterium
Lineage: Bacteria
Description: partial 16S ribosomal RNA
Rfam family: Bacterial small subunit ribosomal RNA
Source: RNAcentral